Uloborus diversus is the source of this 150-nucleotide small nuclear RNA. RefSeq annotates it as U12 minor spliceosomal RNA. The record is from RefSeq and is a predicted model, not a curated record. NCBI's taxonomy places the organism in Eukaryota, Metazoa, Arthropoda, Arachnida, Araneae, Uloboridae. The transcript has a single exon.
GUGCCUUAAACUAAUGAGUAAGGAAAAUAACGUGCCUUGGUAAUGCUUGGCACCACCAAGCUCUCUUGGUAUCAAUUUUUGGAAGGGCACAGGUCGUCCUCGUGUGGUCCGCCUACUUUAGCGGACUGCUGAGUUGUUGUGAUCUGCCCU